This 459-nucleotide ribosomal RNA is filed under the name uncultured bacterium. RNAcentral describes it as "partial 16S ribosomal RNA". It matches the Rfam family "Bacterial small subunit ribosomal RNA", at positions 338 to 795 of the family's 1533-position model. The record is from RNAcentral.
CCUACGGGUGGCAGCAGUGAGGAAUAUUGGUCAAUGGUCGGGAGACUGAACCAGCCAAGCCGCGUGAGGGAGGAAGGUACAGAGUAUCGUAAACCUCUUUUGUCAGGGAACAAAGGCGGGGACGUGUCCCCGGAUGAGUGUAACAGAAGAAAAAGCAUCGGCUAACUCCGUGCCAGCAGCCGCGGUAAUCCGGAGGACGCGAGCGUUAUCCGGAUUUAUGGGGGUAAAAGGGUGCGAAGGCGGUCUGUUAAGUCAGCGGUCAAAGCCCGGGGCUCAACCCCGGCCCGCCGUUGAAACUGGCAGUCUCGAGUUGGAGAGAAGUAUGCGGAAUGCGCGGUGUAGCGGUGAAAUGCAUAGAUAUCGCGCAGAACUCCGAUUGCGAAGGCAGCAUGCCGGCUCCACACUGACGCUGAGGCACGAAAGCGUGGGUAUCGAACAGGAUUAGAUACCCCGGUAGUC